This 128-nucleotide transfer RNA is filed under the name Novosphingobium marinum. RNAcentral describes it as "tRNA-Met". Lineage: Bacteria; Pseudomonadati; Pseudomonadota; Alphaproteobacteria; Sphingomonadales; Sphingomonadaceae. The record is from RNAcentral.
AGCGAGUUGGGCGGGUCUGCCUCAGGCGUUAAACUGACAAAUACUAGUCUACGUAGACGCGUCUACAUAGCACUUCCGUUGGAAUCAUAAUCCGCGUGUCGGGGGUUCGAGUCCCUCCUCCGCUACCA